This 170-nucleotide unclassified non-coding RNA is filed under the name uncultured fungus. RNAcentral's name for it is "sequence contains ITS1, 5.8S rRNA gene". Lineage: Eukaryota; Fungi. The record is from RNAcentral.
CCGAGUUUUGGUACCCUUUGGGUACCAGCUCCCACCAAUUGUGAACCUUUUUCGUUGCCUCGGCGUACCUGAUGGUACCCAUCCUCUGGCCUUCCAGCUGGGGAGUGUACGCCGAUGGAUUUUCAAACCCGAUUUUAACUUUGAAAUCUGAGUAAAACAAAAUAAAAACA